Long non-coding RNA from Gordionus sp. m RMFG-2023, 918 nucleotides. RefSeq lists it as uncharacterized. The record is from RefSeq and is a predicted model, not a curated record. The transcript is spliced from 4 exons. NCBI's taxonomy places the organism in Eukaryota, Metazoa, Nematomorpha, Gordioida, Chordodea, Parachordodidae.
GCAAUAAUUGUCAGCAUGAUCCAACAAAAAUGCUUGGGCAAUCAAUUUGACAGCUACCUUGAAAAUAAAGAAAUAUUCAGUAUCGCCAGUGACCCCUACAACGGUGGGGGGUCCGAAGCAACUGCUUCUAUAAAUUUCUAUAUCAUUAUCAAAAUAUGCCCAAAAAUAUUAACCAAAAAAAAUAUAAAUGCUUAUCUCGCAAUCAAGCCUUCUGGGGGAACAGGCAACAAGAUGGCAAUAUGAUGAGCCUUAUUAAACUUAUUGCAGAUUCUGAGCCUGUUCUUAAAAUGUAUAUACAAGAUAAUGAAGAAAGAAGAAGAGAUUGUAUUCAACAGGUGCCCAUUCAAUUAUAGUUGAUGGCACAUAUGAUGUAUCGAAAUCAGAAGCAAUAGCUUUGAUAGUGAGAUAUGUUGAAAAUAGCGAGACACCUAAGCCCGUUGAAAGGCUGAUAGACAUUUAUUGUACGGGAAAUACAACGGGCCUCGAUAUUAAAAAGAAUAUAAUAUCCAAGCUUGGCUCCAUGAAUCUACCCCUCGAAUUCCUAUUGGGGCAAAGCUAUGAUGGCGCCUCAAACAUGAGUGGAAGAAUUAAUGGAAUGCAGGCUUUGAUUAGAGCGGAGGCGCCAAAGGCAGCUUUUAUUUGGUGCUAUUGUCAUCGAUUAAAUUUAAUAGUUGUUCAAUUAUGCCAAUCAGUAAAAGAGCUGCGAAAUGUCUUAGGAAUAUUAGACGAAAUUUACGUAUAUUUUAAUGAUGUUAAAGAUAUGAAGUGCUCAAAACAUGUCAGAGUGAUUUACUGACAAAAUCACAUAGAUUUUUACGCAUCAAGAAUACCACUCGAAGCUGGCUAACAUCAUAUAAGGCGAUUGUAAAUUUUUUCCUACUUUAUGAUGCUUUGAGGGCAGCUUUGGCAAAUUUAAAG